This 352-nucleotide long non-coding RNA is filed under the name Sorghum bicolor (sorghum). RNAcentral describes it as "long non-coding RNA (SBIC_LNC014570)". Lineage: Eukaryota; Viridiplantae; Streptophyta; Magnoliopsida; Poales; Poaceae. The record is from RNAcentral.
GUGUUCCCUAGCGGACCGAGACAUUAGAGGUGUGGUUGAUCGGUAGGGAUGAUGAUCUUAUUGGACAAAUCCUAGUUUUUGGGGAUAAAAAGAAGAACAAAAGAAAAAAAAGAGUAUUCAGUAAGAUGAACUGCGGAUGAACAGGAGUGCAGUACAAAUACAGGAGAAAAAAUGGUGAACUGACCUCAGGCAUGGUGAAGUUGAUGGCCAUUUUCUGGCGAGGAAGAAGAUCGAAGACUUGGGAGAUUGGUGAAGAAGGCCUUCGAUGAAGUUCUUGGAGUCCUCGGGUGGUGUCGCCACCAAAGAAGUGGUUUCUGGGCUGUAGAAUGUUAAGAUGGAGAAGGAGUACCCG